This is an RNA transcript of Passer domesticus (house sparrow), 18321 nucleotides long. It is a transcript of the gene named calcium release activated channel regulator 2A, with no coding region annotated. Lineage: Eukaryota; Metazoa; Chordata; Aves; Passeriformes; Passeridae. The transcript is spliced from 19 exons. The record is from RefSeq and is a predicted model, not a curated record.
GUUUUUAAAAAUCUGUAAACUUUACUAAUGCAUUUUUCAAAUGUAGACUCUUACAAAUCUGAAGUUGCUUAGUGAGCCUUAAAUACAUUGAGCAUUGGUAAGUUUUCAAAGCCAAGAUUUAUGUUUUGAUUUUCUAAAGUAUAUUAAAAGUGGUUAGAAAUAUGCCUCUAAUAUAGUAUGCAUAUGAUGAAAUUAAUCUUUUAUAAAGAUUGCCUAUAAAACAAAGUAAGAACAACAACAGCAAAACCCCAGGGGACAUGGCUGUGUGUGUGUGUGUCUGUGUUCUGUAGUACAUGUUACUUUGUUUGGAGGUCUCUUAGUUUGGAUUCUAAACCUAAAAAAAGAAAAAUAAUCUACAGCUCCUUCAUCAGUUUCCUCCAGAUAAAGUUCAACAAAGCUGUAAGGUUUAACUUUAUGUACAUUUUACUAUGAGCUUCUAUUAUAUACUGGGAAAAUAACGAAGCCAUUGCAGUAGGAUUUGACCAUUGGUUUUGAUGGAAAUGAGGCCCAUAAAGUUGUGGUUGUUAGUUGUUUGGUAUGUAACUGUUGGGCUCACUGUUGGGAUGUCAGCAGUUCUGUAUGCCUUUCUUAGUUCUUAUCUUCUUAUGGAAUUUUUGCCAUCUUGUUGCAGUAUUCAUGAACUGCUGUGAUUCCUGUCUGGUCAGAGUUUAGGAUCCACUCGGUGCUGAUAUAUUUGGUGUUACUGAAGACAAUGUUCACAUUAACUUAACUGUAAACAAUACAGUUAAACUAACAAGGAAAACUUCAAAAGAUGCCAUCCUUUAGCUUUUAAACACUACAAUAGAAAGCUUUCAGUAACUUUUUUGCAGACCAGGUUUUCAUAACUGGUAUGGUUGUAAUGUUGAAGAGUAUUUUUCACAUGUAGAAAGAGCAAAAGAGAUAAUAUUUGGUAAAGAACAAACCUGUGUACCUAAACACAUGAAGAGGCUGAGGAAGGGGCUGUUACAGUGAAAUGCACUGUUGUGUGAAUGAUCUGCUAUGGAAUUUGUCCCCAGUGUACUUUGUUAAAGGACCUAAGUAGCACUAUUGGACAAGUCAAAGUUGAAACCUUUCCAGGCUUUUUCUUUGGCUAUGGCCAGUAACAAGUCCCUGUAGAAUCAGUAUAUAAUUGUGGCAGAUAUGGAAUGAUCUAUGUUGGUUUGUUAUAGAAAUGUGAAUGGACUUUUUGGAUCAAAGGCUGUGUUUAAAAUGUAUUUCAUUUAAAGGCAGUGUCACUGCUGGCAUGACCAGGUCUGUUCAAAUUGUACUAAACCGGUGGAACUGUAAGCAGAAGAUUAUGACAUAUCUGGCAUUGUAACUGAGGACACAAAUAUCUCUUCCUUCUCCUGAGUGCUGUUAAUGUUGUCUGUCAGUGGAUCUUGCACUAGUUGUUUAUCUGUUUCUGUUUGUAAUAUCAUGGCAAUUUUCCUGUCCCUAAACCAUUUAAGGCUAAAAUGCAUUUUCCUUUAUUUUAGGAAGUAUGAUUUCUGAUCCCAGCUGGGAACUCUGGGUUCUACUCUCGUAGGUAUGAUUUGUGUUUGAUUCACUACUAUGCUAGCUCUGCAAAAGGCACUUUGUUCCCCACAUUGUAUGAAAUAAUAGCAAAUCACGCAGGGAAUUUGUGUAUUACUGAAUCCUUUUUAUUAUUACACAAUAUUCUACAGAGCAUACAUUUUGUGAAAUUAACAAAUACAUGUGCUGUUGUUCCUUUGAUUUGGUGUUUUAUUUCUUCUGAAACAGAUGUUUUUAGUUAAGGAAACUGAAGUUUCAUUUUUAGCAUCUCAUGGAUACAAAAUACCACAAUUUUUACUGAUCUCUGAGACUUUUCUGAUUGUUUGUGUGGUGGUGUCUUGUUUGCUGCUUAAUUUGAAUUGAAUGGCACAAUCUUAAUCUUGCUGCACAAUUGAAGUUUUACCUCUUCUUUCAAUGUGUUCUGCUUUUUGUGCUGAUGAAUUUUGUUAUUGAAGAUGUCUGUAAAAUAAUUGUCCUUUCUCUGGCAAGGGGAGAGGGAUUAUUAUUGCAAGUAAAGUCCAGAACUGUACAAGCAGCCAAUACAGGAAGUAGUUGGGCUUAAUAAAAAGAGCAGUGAGAAAGGGAGGAAAAUAAUUUCUUGGCCUCUAGAGUGUUAAAGAAAAGAGAAGGGAUCUUGGUGUGGUUCUGGGGAAGGAAACCUGAUACUUUCUUUUACUCUUUCAUGUAGUGAAAUGUUCUCCAUUUUGGUUUUACACCUGUGCAAGAGGGCAUGCUACUCUCUUAGCUGUCCUGACCUGAGGUAGAGCUUACUAAAUUAUUCUUGUGACAGCAUGUUUUCACAUGAGCACAGUACUUCAGGAUAACAUAGAAAAAUAAGAUCAGGUCAUACUGGCCUCCUGGACCAGCUUUGGUUUUUUACAAUUGGUGUGUACUCAGUUAUUGCUGAAUGGAUCUCAUUUCAUCCAGAGCAGUUUGGGAGAGCAUCUGUCUGCAUUCCAGUUCAUUUACAGGGUCAGUUUGCACAAACUCUUGUUUUUGUUAGAAUCCAAGGGGAGAAAAAAAGGAUACAGCUCUGUUUUUUACUACAUGUCCCAGUACACUCGCAUCCAAGCCAGAUGUGAGAUACAUCAUAUGAUGGCUGCAGUUGAUAACUUACAUUCAGGACUACAUUGGAUGCCAGUUCAACUGGCAGAUUGAGGACAACUCUCACCUUUUUAAACAUUUAUUAGCACAGAGUAUCCUAGCAGGAAGGGCUCAGGUGAGUCUGUGCAGUUUGCAUACUGAAAAUUACUUUCAGGAGGAUGAGCACAUGUCAGUCUUAAAAUUCCUGUGACCUAAAUAUCCAUCAAUGUUGUAACUUCUUUUAGGCACUGUCCAAAGCACCAGACUUGCAAAACAGCACAGGCCUACUGCAUCUACUUUUCACAAGUCACAAAAAAUACUAUGGGGCUGAGAGAUGGAAUACUUUGCCCCAUUUUAAAGCCAGUUGGCCUCUCUUAUGCCCCUCUCUAUUAAGCCCCUUUGUUCUCCUUGACUCUGCCUUCCCCUGUUCAUCCCCCACUCCAUGGGUGUAUACAGCUCCAUUGAUUCCUGCACCCCUUGCAGUCCGAUCCCCAAUAUCAUUUCCAAAGUCCAGGAUGAAAUAACCUUUCACACACGUACAUGCUCUUACCAGUUAAUAUGACUGACCAGGUUUGGUUCUCAUCCCUGCCUCCCUUACCACGUCAGCCAGCUUUAUCCUCAUGCAUUUCUGUUCUUGGCUUCUUCCUUACAGUCCCUGUUGUGUCAGAAAAGCUAGUAGAGGAGUAGUCCUUCCACACACUCAUACAAAUAAUUGUGCCACAUAAAACAUCCAGCAAUUUUAGUGCCACAUUUGUCCUUACUUGGGGGUUUAGUUGGAGAGGUCACAUUUCAUUCCUGUGGUAAUGAAUGGACAAGAGGCAGCCAAGGUGUACAACACCAAGACUGGAAAUUUGCAUGUUCAAGUGGAUUUUUUAAUUGGAAAGGACUCACUUGAAUGUACAGAAAAAAAAUGAGAGUAUUUGGUGUAUAGUGUAAUAAGCAAAAAAAAAAAAAAAAGCAGUGUAGUAGAGUAUAGGGAAAGGACCUGUUCAAGCAGUAAUCAGUUCCGUGGAAUACCAUAAAUUGAGUUUCUCUUCCUUGUGUGCUUUGAGCUGUUAAGAGUUUGAUACUGCUGUCAUGUUAAGGAUUGCAAACCAGCUGGUUCUGGCUGUUUGCACACUUGCAGACAUUUGAAGAUUAAUUUACUGCUACUACUUUUAAUCUUUUGCAAAAGUGAUUAUGACUCCACUGCUAUAAACAAGUUUGAAGCUAUGCUCUUCUCAGCUAUUGACUUUAUUGUCUAGAAAUGUCAUUCAUUUCUGUAUUUUUAUUUUGUCUAUUGCCUUUGAACAUCUUUGAGGUGUUUUUGUUUCAGUAUUUUCCUUUCUAGAAACACAUUUUUGCAAUUAGAGAGGGAGGAAAGAAGAAUAAGAAAGGAUAAAUGUAUCAGCAUUUGGAAGCUUCUGGGUUCAUAUCUGGAUACAGUGCCAAUCAGGAAGGCAGGGAGUGGAAAUGACAUUAUGUUUCCAAGCCAAUAUCAGUUACAUCCAUUUCCUGUUUGUCUUCUAGCCAAUAAAUGCCAACUUUAAUUUAAAGGGAAUGAAAUCAUUGUGACACCAAAAGGAACAACCUCAAAUGUUUCUUAUCUUUACUCAGCUUCUUCACCGAUACAGUUUUCUUCCAUUGAACUCCUAAGGCAAUGUAAUACAUACACCAGUACAGGCAGUGAGCAUCUGACUUGUGUCCAGGUUUCAGGAACAACAUAAGGCCUUGGCCUGCUGGCCUCCCUUUUCCUGUUCCCAUGCUUUGCUUGCCAUGGGAAGUUGCCAUAAAGUGAAACAGAUGAAGUAUCUGGAGCAUUGUGAAAAACCAAUUUGGAGUGGGAAUAUGCUAAUGCAGUGUGUUGUAUUAAGUGAUGUGUUUGGUUACAGAGAUGGAGGUGACCAAGUAGCUCAUACAUGUAGUCUUUUUUCCAGUCAGUAUCUACCUUUGAUCUGGUGAAAGUUGUCCAAGGAAGUAAUCCCAGCUGGGAACAGUUGGUGCAAAUAAACCCUUCAAAGGAUGACUGGAUAUUGGAUACACUGUUUUAUUGUCUAUGUAUUAACUAGGGAGAUUACAUUAAAAAGAUUUAUUUCUAUAAAGAGACUGGCUGACACAAAUACUAUCAUCACAUAUUUUGUUUUAAUACAGCUGUUGAAAAUACUGUAGCCUGACAAAGCUCUGUCAGCUAAUAACUGAAUGUUUAUGAGAGUGACUUAAAUAGCAGCUCCAGGCUGAUAUUUUCUAAUUGUUUUGAAUUUUAUUUUUAGUGUAAGAAAUAUGACCCAAAACAAUGGGAUAAGACAAGGACAAGAGAUGGAAAAGCAGGGGGUGGGGUGGGGGGGAAUCAAUGGGAGAAAAAUGGUUACAUAAGUGAAAGGGUAGUUGAGUUACACUGGGGCUGGGAAUUGAUGCAAGAAGGGGAGAGAACAUAAGAGUAUUACUGCUUUAAAUCUGUCCUUCAAAAUUUUUUAAAUUCAGCUUUCAUCCUGAUGAUCUUCCUGGAUGUUAAGCAAUGUUUAUAUAUCCCCAGUGGGAUGGAGUAUUGGAUGGAGAGUCAGGGGACUCUCCUGUAGUCAAAUUUUUGUGUCUUCUGACAUGUUGUGAUGAGAGCAGACUUACAGAAGUGGUGCACAAAUGAUACAGAGCCAUCAGAAGUGAGAGAUGUAGCUACAGCACCUCCUCUGAGCAGUGUUGCAAGGAGCAUGGUGGUACCAAAGUGUUGCUGUCUGCUGUAAACAUAACUGCUUGGCUUCUGGCUUCUCAUGAGGCCACCAUGCUUCCUGAAAUAUCCCCACUCCAGUGACACUGCACAUAUCUUGUCUUUGCAUCUCUUCCAUGGCAAGUGUGUGGUAUCAAAUUUACUGUAUUUAAUUGACCACUGUAGUGUAGCCAGGAGCAAAAAUGUUCUGGCUUGCAUUAACAAAUUGGAGAAAACUGCUAUUGCUCUAAAUUGUCUGCUCCAUGAAGUAAUUGAUUUCUGGAAAGAAACUGUCUUAUGUUGUGUAUUAGGUUAGGUAUUGCAAUAGAUCCCCCAGGUUUUCUGGCCUUUAGCUGCUGUGGUAGUAAAUAUGACUGAUUUUCAAAUUUCAGAAUAUAAAACUAUACUGUCUCUUUGUAAAAAAAAAGGUUUCUAUCAAGCAUGCUCAUAAAGGUGGUGAGUUUCUGAAAGUUUUUCUUUGAUGCACAAAAUCCCUCACUGAACAGAAUUUAAUAGUCUAUCUAUGAGAAUUGCAUUCAAUAAGACAAUAUAAUUAUCUUUGUAGUAAGUAUUCAUUUAAAUUGAAAAUCCCUGAGUGGAAGGUAUGUAUCUAACAGAGCCUUGAGCUAGCAGUGCACUUUAGGGCUGGAAUCUAUAUAAUGCUUCAUCACAGAUGGACAGCUUGUGGACAAAAAUACAGUUUACCACCUCAGCAUGAACGUGGGGGGAAUUGGUAAGGCGGUGUAUAAUUAAUGCUGGUUUUGAUCCAGGAUACCUUUCCCUUAGGAGAGGAGAUGAAGAUUUUUAGUGAUAGUCUUUUAAAGAUUGGUUUAUGGUUCAGCAAACUGUGGAAUAUUGAGUAAAAUUAGAACUGUAUCGUGGCACAGACUGAGAGAGAAGUCCUUCCACUGUACUGCUGGCUCCACAUCCUCACAGGGAAACACUCUAAUAUGGUGUUUUUCUUUUAAAAUAAAAAAUAAAUGCUAUUUCUUUUCACUUUGAGAAAUAUGAAGAGCGUGGCUGUAAAAUGUGAUAGGCAAAAAAAAAAAUCAAUUUGAAGAACUGGUUCUAAUGUUCCCCUGGGAAUGUUGUGAUUUUUAAUAUUUCAGAAAUGGGUUUGCUUAGCCCUGAGGGAAAGGGAUUGGAAGAGCAUGAUAGACAUGAGCAUGCACGAAGACGGUACGUUCAGUAUUAAGGGGGAAGAAAUAGGUCACUGUGUAUUAGAUAGCUCAUUUGGUUUCCUUUACAGCCUCAAGAGACAGCAACUGCUGAGCUGCAGAAAGCUGCCCUGUAUUCUGAGGGAUAGGGCAAAUAAGCAAUGUAGAUGUCCUUGCUUUGGUUAUACACAGGUACACCUUUUAAUUCAUGCUUUCUUGUGGAGCUGAUGGUGCCUUACUGGAAAAAGUGCCUGUUUAUGCAACAGCUCUAGUUAUUCAUGUGUCAAUGCUGAGCUGCACGUGGCUUAAGGAAAACAUUUUUAAUGUGUGUUAUAUAAAAGGAAAUACUUUUCUUGGGUUUUUUUAUUUUUAUUUUUUUGUAGUUUAUUAUACAUUAUACCUGAGAAUGUUCCUUCUCAACACUCAAGCAAAAGUAUCAAGAUGCCUUCACGGAUGAACAAGGAGCUCCUGACUGAACUCAAACAUCCAAAGGAAGCACACAAGUGGUGGCAGCACAGAAAGGGGGCCGAGGGGGAAACCAGCAAUGCUGUCCUGAGGUUGCAUGGACAGGGUGAGAGGAAAGCCAAAGCAGUCAGGAGAGACAACAACAACGCUGAAUUAUUCAAUGAGGAAUUAAGAGAUAUCUCUAGUUCAUCUGCCCUUGUCCUUAUGGAAGAUUUUAACCUCCCAGACAUCAACUGGUUAGUAUCAUAGAGCAGAAACAGGUCCAGGAAAUUGCUGAAGCACAAGGAGGAUAACUUCUCUGUGCAGGGGCUAAGGGAGGCACCUAGGACAGGUGCCCUCCCAGCUUUGCUGUUUGUUAACACAGAUGGUCUCAGGGGUGAAGUGGUGACUUGGUGGCUGUCUUGAUCACACCAAGUAGUUAUGUUUCAAAUAAUUGGUGUUUGGAGAAUAAAACACCAGGAAAACUUUGUCCCUGGGUACGGGAAGAGCAGGUUUUGGGCUGCUGAAGGAGCUAGCUAGUAGGGACCUCUGAGGAUCUGCUUCUGAAGGUAUUUCCUUCCAUGAAUGCUAGUCACUUUCUAAGAGCCAUUUCUUAAGAGCACAGUAGCAGGCAAUUCCAAAGGAAGGGAAGCCAAGCAAGCAGUGCGAAGGACUGCCUCGGCUGAACAGGGGUCUUAUAGAAGUUAGACAAAAAGAAACUGUACAGACACUGGAAGCAAGAACAGACAACACAGGAGGACUAGAGAGAUUCUGUUUGGCACUGCCAGGAGAAAAUUCAUGCAGUCAAAGCUCGACUACAGUUCAAGCUGGCCAGCACUGAGAAGGACAAAAAAGGCUUUUCAAAAUAUAUUAACAGCAAACAGAGAAUCCGAGAGAACACUGGUCUCUGGAUUGAUGGGGUCAGUCACCUCACAAAUAGGGAUACAAACAAUGCAGAGGUAUUUAAUGCCUUCUUUGCCUCUGCCUUUAACACCAGUGCUGGGCCCCGAGAUCCCAGGAGACCUGUGUUGGAAGACCAGGACUGAGGGGAUGAUGAUCUCCCAACUGACCCUGAACUUGUUCAAGAGUAGCUGUUCAAGCUGGAUGCACAUAAAUCUGUGCAGCCUGACAGGAUUCAUCCCAGGAUACUGAUGGGGUUGGACAAAGUUAUCACAGGACCUUUCUGCAUUAUUUUUCUUCAGUGGCUUGGGAGUCUGGAGAGGUCCCAGUCAACAGGAAGCUGGCAAUGUUUCAAGAAGGGUAAGAAGGAAGACCCUGGUAAUGCUAGAUCUGCCAGUCUUACUUUUCAGUGUGUGGUAAAAUUACAGAGAAGUUUUUUUGAGAGACAAUCCAGUCAUUGAUUAUAGUGAGCACAGGUUCACAAGGGGAAAGUCUGGCUUAACCAAUUUAAUUUCAUUUCAUUAUAAGGUCACACACUUAAUUGAACAAGGGAAGCCAGUAAAUGUGGAGUUGUGGAAUUUUACCAAGCUUUUGAUACUAUUCUCAAUCAACUGCCCAGCACAAAGAUGGACAAAUCCAUAAUAUGUUGAGUAAAUGGGGUUACAUCAGGCUGGCAGCCAGUCACCACCGACAUUCCCACGGCUCAAUUUCACAGCCAGUGUUCUCCCAUGUUUUCAUAAAUGAUAUGGACACAGGAAUCAAAUAUACAAUAGGUAAAUCUGUCAGUGAUACUAAAUUAGGAAGAGCUGUGGACUUCCUUGGGGGUAAAGAGGUCCUGCAGAGAGAUCUGGAGAGCUGAGCCGUCACCAACUGUAUGAAAUUUAACUAGACCAAGUACUGGAUUCUCCUUGUGGGACACAGUAAUCCUGGUUAUUCAUACAAAUUGGAGAAUGAGAUACUGGAGAACAGCACUGUGGACAGGGACCUGGGGGCAAGUGGAACAUGACUCAGCAGUGCCCUGGCAGCCAGGAGGGCCGAGUGUGUCCUGGGGUGUAUCAGGCACAGCCUCGCCAGCCCGGCAAGGGAGGGGAUUGUCCCCCUCUGCUCUGCACUGGGGUGGUCUCACCUCGAGUGGUGGGGGCUGUUUUGGGUGCCACAAUAAAUGAAGGAUAUAAAGCUAUUGGAGUGUGUCCAGAGGAGGAUGACAAAAGUGGUGACAGGUCUCAAGAGCAAGACUUAGGAGGAAGUGGCUGAGGUUGCCUUGGUUUGUUUAGCUUAGAGAAGAGAAGGCUGGGGGAUGACCUCAUCACAGUCUACAGCUUCCUGAAGGAAGCAGUGGAGGGGAGGGACUGAUCUCCUCCCUCUGGUGACCAGCAACAGGACACAAGGAAAUGCAGUGAAGCUGCACCAGGUUUCAGAUCAGAAUUUAUAGGUAAAUGGGAUAGCAGCAUCCCAGGAUAUUCCUGAGCUGAGAUUGUAACCAUGGAAAGAAUAAAAGGAGACCACACCAGUCCUGUGCAACCAGAAGAUGCAGAGAGGAGCAGGACUGGAGAACAAGACCCAGAACUAACUGUACUGGGAAAAGCACAAGAGUUCUUUCAGAUUUGUGAUCUGGAAGACAAAGGCUUCGUCACUCGUCAAGACAUGCAGAGACUGCAUCCUGAGUUACCUCUUAGUCUGGAAGAACUUGAAAAAGUUUUUGUUACAUUGGAUGCUGAUGGAAAUGGCUCACUUACCCCAAAGGAGUUUAUCACAGGAUUCAGCCAAUUUCUUUUGGAGCAGAUUGCUUUGAAAAAUGACAUGGUACAGCCAUCAGAAGGUGAAACAACCUGCCCAGUUAGAUAUGAAGAGACCAUGACUGGUGAAGAGGAUGAAGAAUUCCAGUUCUCAAAUCUCAUGGAUCGGCUUGGAGCUGCAAAGGUUUUGGAUGAUGAGACUGAUGUGAAGCAACUUUGGUUGCAGCUAAGAAAAGAAGAACCUCAUUUACUUUCCAAUUUUGAAGAGUUCCUGGUCAGAAUUUUUUCCCAGCUCCAAGAAGCAGAUAAUGAGAAGAAUGAGUUGGAAUGUGCUCUAAAAAAGAAAAUUGCUGCUUAUGAUGAAGAAAUUCAACAUCUCUAUGAGGAAAUGGAACAGCAAAUCAAAAAGGAGAAAGAGCAGUUUCUCUUGAAAGACACAGAGAGGUUUCAGUCCCACAGUCAAGAGCUGGAGCGCAAGCUGCUGUCGAAAGAACAAGAACUGGAACAGUUGGUUCAAAAACAGAAAAGGUUAGAGCAUCAGUGUACACAACUCCUCAGUGGCAAAGAAGAAACCAAAGUAGAGAACACCAAACUGAAGCUGACUAACCAGGAGCUGCUGAGAGACCUGGAGAGAACAUCCCAUGAGCUAAGCCUGGCUCAACAGCAGCUGCAGGUGCUUCAGGAGGAGGCAUCAAGGCUCCAUGAGGAGAAGGAAAUGGAAGUGUACCUAGUGACAGAAACCUUACAGAGAGAGAAGUCAGGACUUUUGAAGCAGCUGGAUUUUUUAAGAGAGAGGAACAAACAUCUCAAGGAUGAAUGUGACAUAUUUUUGCAGAAAUGCAAAACAACUGUUCCAAAAGCCAGCUGGAAGCAGAGAUCAGGGUCUAUCAUUGGGAAAUACUUAGAGGGCAAGAUGCUGACAAACAGCCAUUCAUUUGAAGAAGAUGAUAUUUUCAGUAACUCAAAGAGAAGGAAUUCUGGUGGACUGAAUGGAGUUCUCUCUGAAGAGCCUGAUGCUGGAGUCACUGGAGGAAUGCCUAAAACAUCACAUCUCCAAAGAAUAAUAUCAAUUGAAGAAGAUCACCUACCCCAGCUUCUUGACAGGCUGGUUGAUAAGCAGCUGAGCAGAUGGACUGGAGAAGAUGAAAAUACUUUUGAUACAGAAAUGAAUAACAAAUCCAGAGAGCAAUCAAUGGAACACUCAUCAUCAUCAUCAUCUUCUAGAGAGCAGCCUGUAGGGAAGGAAACACUGUCAAAUGAGGAGAAAAUAAACUUUGUCCCAGAGCGAUUAUUCAAGAUUGUUUUUGUGGGCAAUUCGAGUGUUGGAAAGACUUCAUUCUUAAGACGAUUUUGUGAAGAUCGUUUUUUCCCAGGCACUGCUGCUACUGUAGGUGUGGAUUACAACGUGAGAACUGUCACAGUGGAUCGCACCCAGGUAGUGCUGCAGCUCUGGGACACAGCUGGCCAGGAACGGUACCGAAGCAUUACCAAGCAGUUUUUCAGAAAAGCUGAUGGGGUCAUUGUGAUGUAUGACAUAACAGCAAAAGACACAUUCACAGCUGUCAAGCAGUGGCUGAUAAGCAUUGAGGAGGCAACUGGAGAGAACAUGCCUGUUCUUUUAUUGGGUAACAAAACCGAUAACGAAAAGGAGCGUGAGGUCCCGAUGGGAAUAGGAGACCAUCUUGCAAAGGAUUAUAAUUUAAUUUUCUAUGAAUGCAGUGCUUAUUCUGGGUACAAUGUGGAAAAGUCUGUGCUCCACUUAGCUAGGAUUUUAAAAGAACAUGAAGAUAAAGUGAAAGAGAAAACCAUCGAACUUCAAUCUGAUACAAACAAAAAGUCAUGCUGUAUGAGGCAAUAAAAUGCUGAGGCAUGUUUAGACAAGUCAUACAUUUAUAAAACACUACCUGGCACUAUCAGAUUUGCUUUUAUACUCCAAAUAUUUCUUCUGCUGUGUUCUGACUGUAGGUGCAAGUGAAAGUGAAAAUCUUUAUAUGAUCUGAUCUUGCUUUUAUAAAUAUUGUCUUUAGUUAAUUGAGAGUGUAUUUGGGACAGUAACAGUCUUUUAUUCUGUUUGAUGCCAAACACCACUGAAUCCUGCUUUGUCAUCAGGCUUGUAGAAGGUGCCACAUUAUUAAUAUGAAGAAACAAUUUUAUGGGAAGAAAACUCUUUUGAAUAUGAAGUAAAUUCCUACUUGUAUGAAUAACCCAUCAUAUGAAUACUGCUUAUUUCAUUUUUGUUCAGAUCCUUAGAUCCUCAUUUUUGGGCUAAGCUCCCUUUACAGUUUUAAAAAAUUGCCAUAGGUGUAGUUGUUUGUAGUUUAAAACAUGUUAAGGCUGACUGAACAGCUCUUUGUCUCCAAAAGUCUGUCAUAGGAGGUGUCAUAGAAAAUUUUGGAGGUAGAAUUUUCAGAAACAGCAGAUCUUAUUUUGAGGAAGAUUUUGAAAAACUUACCAGCAUUUAAUGAAUGAAAAAUCACACCAAAAUUCAGUGAGAUAUUGCUCUUUUAGCAAUGCUAAGAAAAAAUUCCUCCUCAUGUAGCUAAACACAUGACUGCUUUUUCAAAAGCAGCUGCCACACAACAUUCCUCCAGGGCCUGAUAGCACUGAGACACAGUUUACCCAUGGGAUGCAUUUUAGAAAAUCAUGGCCUACCCUGGACCAUAAGAAACACAGAUGUCAAUUAUCUUUGGAAGCUUUUGUGGAGUAUAAAUGGAAAUAAGAAACUUGAGAGUGCGUCACCACAUGAUCAACAAUUAUUCCUGGUGGGAUAUGUCUUCACUGCAUCCGGCUGUUGUGGGUUGCUUCUUGAAGUCCACUACUGGUUGUGGAGAGUUGAGUCACCUUAUCAACUGUGGCACAUUAUCCAUCAUGGAAGACUUAGAAUUGAAUCAUCUGUGUUCAGUCCUGUCUGGAGCUGAACUAAUGCAAACCAUUAAUUCAAACAUCAACAAAAACAACACUUUAUCCCAAUUUCAGCUAGGAAAAAAGUGUCAUCAGUUUAAGUAUUGGCUCUGCUAAUUGACUUUGAGUGAUCUGUUUCUCCAUUGAUGUUGGAACCAGCAAUAUUUCCUCUAGCCUCUGUCAGCUUCAGGAAGACAGUUUGAACCCUUAAUUCCAGCUUUAAUGUCCAUGAUUCUAGCCCCACAGAUUCAAAUUCUUAAUUUCUUUUUCCCUGGUUCAUCUUGAUUUUGAAGGACAGUGACAAGUGAAGUAGAUUUUCUUUCUGUGAAUCCCAUGGGAUCAUUUUUAUUUGGGUGUCCUUUAGCAUGCACUAAGACCCUGCCAGCAGGAUGUACACAAUUUGAGAACAGACAAUGCUAAGAAGCAGCUGAAUCCUGGGAUGAGAGGUGUUUCUCCUUCUACAGACAAAUCUGGUGGAGUCUAGCACCCAGGCAACGUCUUCCAUCUAGGAUUGAUAGCUGUGGCCGCUGCUGAUCCUUCUUGGAAGUCCAGCCAAAUUCCAAGCUGAGUACACAUUGCAAAGGUGUAGAUACACGCACAGCACCAACAUCAUCAGCCACACAGAGACUAAUGUCUUCACUGCUUGUCACCCACAUAUGCGCAAGCAGCAUUCCUAUCAAUAUGAACACAGAUAACCUAAUCCUCUUCCUUUCCAACAGAUCAAGACUGAAGUUCUCUGAUGAAAACAUGCGUGUACACAACUCCUGUGACUUGCAGUGUUCUCUUUCUCUCACCCUGUCCUACACCUCUCCCCAGGAUCAAGCAAAAAAUCACGUUUAAUGAAAAGGCUAGAUGUCCUGUAGCUGCGGGGCACAAGGCUUAUUCAGAUAAAUUCUGACCAGCAGCUUGCCCACAUACAACUGGUCCCUUUUAUUCUACCUUCUCUUGAUUUUUUUGCAUGCUUAUUCUUCUUCCACCUACCCUGACCCCUCCCUUUCUCUGUCCUUCAUAUCCCAAAGAAACAACUUGUCCCUAGUUGCCUUUUCCCUGUUAGUCCCAGGUUUUCUACAUCUGUACCCAUAUUUUUUCUACCAUUUCCUAAGUCACCUUGACUUUACGUGCUGUUAUUAAUACAAGUUUCCGCUCCCAAAAGAGUCCCAACUAUUCCCCUCCAAUUACUUGUGAAGUUACUGUGUAACUCCCCCUUAUCCACCUGGGAAGUCCAGACUUGGCUUACAGUGCUCUCUGUAAAAACUUUCAGCUUCUCACUCUGUUAUUUGCAGUGUUCAGGGUUGCUUGUGAAGGUUUCUCAUGGUCUGUUUGGUUAUCUAAACCUCAGGUCAGGGCUUAUUCACCUGUUGGCACACCUGAACAAACAGCAGGUACUGGUGGACUCAUGCUCACUGAAGACAGGUGUGAAGAACAUGCAACAAGGCUCUUCUCAUGGACAGAUUCUGCUGUCCAGCUGGCCAUUAAACUGGUGUGGGAAUUGUCAGGUUCCCACAUUCAUUGAUGCUAGGUGUAUUGCUGGGUUGCUGUCUUCUGACUCUCCAGCAGGGUUUUAUACCUCCUGGCAGUAUUUUUCUCAGCUCUUCAGAAAGUUAAUACUGGCUUAACAGAAGUGAAGCUUCCUUUUCCUCUUUUCUUUUUUUUUUUCUCCAUUUUUUCCAUUUCAAUUCUCCAUUGGCAGAAAUUGAUCUCUGCCUGGUCAGGUACCCAGUACUGACAGAUCUUUGGAUACGUACAAUACAAAGUCCAUUUGCGUGGAUAUAACAGAGUGCUUCUAACCCUUUGGAACUGAACAUCCAUGAAUUACUGUGUGCCAGUCAAAACAGAUUCCAGCCUGCCCAGAUGUGAAUGGAGCAACAGUGUAAAAAAAUCAUUGCCCAGUAUAACCUCCCUGAGAGAAGUGUAUAGCACCUCCUUACAUACCAGAUUUGAGGAGUGAUCUGCAGCUGUUAAAAUGGGAAUGCUCCGCACACAAGGAAUAUGUGAGGAACAGACUAUGCUGAAGCAAGUUUGCCUCUGGAAGAACUGUACUCAGUGGUCACACCUCAUACUGGAGCAGGGACAAAUGAGGAACAGGACAACUGGCAUCCCAAAGCCCAGGACAACUGGAAACAUUGAGAUUGAAUGGCUGAAACCAUAUUACUUGGUGUGGUACAAAGCAUUACACACAGCCCCACAACUUUCUGUGCUGCCUGUUGGCUCCCUGGGCAAAUUCUGAAAAAAAAAAUGGAAGCUGAAACUCAGGAGCAGAGGAGAGAAAAAAUGUACAUGUAUACAUUUGUCUAAUGGUUUACAUUAUUUUUCUUUCCCCAGAACUGCAAUCAUCGAUAAAAGAUUUGUGUACUUUAGUAGUAAAUUAACUCAAGUAAAAUUUCCCAACUUGGGAGCAUUUUUGUUUGCAACAUCUGUAUAUUGGCAGAAUUUUCUACCAUGUGAGAUCAUUUUGGAAUAAAUCCUCUUUAUCAUCUGCAUAAGUAGAAGCUUGUUUUAGAAAGUAGAAACAUGCUCAUAAAGCUCAUCAAUAGCAACUUCCUGAAUUCAUCCACAGCUGUUGAAAUAAUGGGUCUUUUUUGAUUAUUGAAAUUACAGGAUUUGCAAUAGCACUCACAUACACUUCUGGAAAAAGGAGAGAGUUAUGCACUUUGGCCUGUUUACUCAUAAAACAACUAAAGUUAUUUUAAUAUGAAGCUAGUAAAGGGCACCUGGUUAUUGUCUGAUGAAAAUAGGCUUCUCAAGGGGAAAAAAACUCCAGUAGGUUAACUUUACAGGGCAUGUAUAAAAGUUCAUUUCUAUUACUAAUCUGAAAUAUUGUAUGCAGAGACACUGAAUUCUUCCAAAUGUACUAGAAUUUGAAGGACAUUGGAUUAGUCAGAUAAGCAUUGCUUAUUUCCUUUCAAACACUGAAGAGGGAAGUGUUUCAAACAAGUCCAUCUAUACUGGAUAGCUGUGUUUAGCUUCUGCAGUUGUCAGUGCCUUUUCUGCCACAUGCUUCUUCUGAGCACAAGAAUCAUUACAAGAAAAAACCCAGAUUCAGAGGAGUUUUCUCACUGGAAAUAUCUGGUUUUCAUGGGUUGAACAAGAAGGGAGUAGGGAAUCCUGUGGAACUGAGACAUUUGAGUAACACAUGUGGCUCUGAAUCUUACUCAAGCACUCCUAUUACUUGAGGUGCUGUUUGUGUGUCUGGGUAAUGAACAGUGAAGACCCUGCUGUGUUUUGUGUGGCUGAUGACAUUAGUAUGUUGUGUAUGCAUCUGCCCCUUUGCAGUACAUACUCAGCUCAGGUUUUGGCUGGACUUACAGCAGUGAAGAGCAGCAGCCACAGCUACCAUCUCUCUGUGACAUAGUGUUAUACCUGGUGUUUUGUCUUGUGCCAUCUUUGCCUCAUGUUGUGAGAGCUGUGUUCUUUUGCUCAGAGCAUACAUAAUAUGCUUUUAGGUCUUGUGUCACUCUAUCCAGCUUAAUUUUUUUUUUUUUUUUGCUGUCUUCUUAAUGACCUUGUUGUAAGUGAGUAUUAUUUGGAACAUUAGCCUGCCUGUUUGCAGGAUUCAGUGCUGCUGCAGCUCUACACUUAAAUCUUACCUUUUCAGAGGAAAUCAAGCCUAUGAAUCGGGAAUGUGAAUAUUCCUGUGACUGUAUAGCUGCUGUUGAAGCUCAGGUGCUGCUGUUUUCAGAGGGAAGAUCACUGGGUAGGUUUGCAACUCUCCAUUCCUGCCAAUCAUUACUCCUCCAUUUUACCUUUUACAAGCUGUUAGAACCCUGCAACAAGCCAUUUUAGGCCUUGGCAGAAUCUCAAGAAAAAAUAUAAUAGAGAAAAGAAGAAAAAGACAGAAUUCUCUCCUGUAUUAGUGAGCUGAACUAGCCCAGCAAAAUCUGACAAAUACCACAGUUAGUGGGAGGAUAUGGGUGGAAAACACAGCUAAGAUCACAGUUUUGAGAAAAGAAGUCUAGAGGGGUGGGCAGCCCAUUUUCAGUACCAAGAAGGUGUUUAAUUGUCUCACCUCUUUUUAACCUCAUAUUUCAAUAUUAAUAAAUGGAACUGGAUGGGGACCAUAUUUCUCAGACAGCCUGGGGAGCUCAGUAUUGCUGCAGCCAAACACCAGUUUGGAUACCUGUGCUGGGGGCUGGAAAGCCUCAGGACUGGCAGUGCAUAGCUCAGAGGUAAGGAAGGCUCUCAGCUGCAAAGCUCAGAUGCCUCCCCUGAGAGCCUGAGUGAACACUCAGUUUCUGCAUAGCCUUCUCCCAAGUUCUUACAGGUGCAAAUGACUGAACUGCAUUGAACUGCACUACUUGACAGCUUUGAACAAGGUUCUUUGAAUCUAGGCUAUUAAGGCUCAUCAGUUGUCAUAGCAACCCUGUAUUGUAUGGAUUUAUAUUAUGAAGCUGUAAUAAGGCUGUUGCUCAUCCCUCUGAAAUGAGGCAUAAAUCACGAAUACAGUUUCUCAGUGACAGGACUUCUUUAAGUAUUAUUCUGACAGAAAAACUGAUUUGCAUUAAAUGACAUUUCUGUCAGAAAGACGAAUGAUAGGAGUGAAACUUUCUACAGGUAGGCUAUAAGCACUUUCAUUUGUAAUCCUCUGUAGAGUCACCUUUUACACUGAAAUUAUUUGUGUCAUUAGAAGCCCCAGGAGAGGUUGUGCAAGGAAUUACUAAACUCAGGUAAAAUGUGUGAAGCCCUUGCUGUUGGCUUGUCCCAUGCAGGGAAUGCUACCCAGCAAUUGAGUUCUGCUCAGAUUAUUAAAUAUUGAAUUUUUUGUUUAAUAUUUGUUCCUUGCUGACAUGGUUCUUGUGUAGAAUGGUAGCUAAAUGUACCUUUCUGUCAUUGCUGUGCAGACAAUGCAGCUGUGCAAACAUGGUAUACACAGAUUUCUGGAGGGCGCCAUUGGUCAAGAAAGUUAAAUCAUACACAAUUACAGACAUCUAUCAAAUGACUAAAAAUUAACUUCUGGCAGGUUUCGACAUGUAGUGCUAAAUAAGCUAGGCAUGGUUUAUUGUGAAGGGGAUUUGUAUCCAAUUUGUGAUAAUUUAUAAAGUCCCCAUUUCUGGAAGUUUUCAGAACAGUUUUUAUACAAAACCACAGUGAUUUGACACAGCUUUGAAGACACUGCUUGGACUAGAAACCUCCAAGGUUUCCUUACAACCUACGUUUUGGGGGUACAGAUGGAAAAAUCCCCAAAUACCAUUCUAGUUAAGCAGACUGUUUUGAGUGUCUGCUUUGUAUACCAACAUUAAAGCCCAGCGGUUAAUUUAAGAUCACCACAACACCUGCAACAGAGCAUUUAAGAGUGUUAUGAAAGCACUCUGUGGUGCAAGACAUCUCUUGAGAAAGCAAAUGUCUGUCCUGUCUUCCAGAAAGGCAAGAAGGGUCCAGACAGCAAUGAGCCUUACAAUCCCCAGGAAAGUGAUGGACAACUAGUCCUGGAAACCACUCUGAGAUACACAAAGCACAAGGUUGUGAUCAGGAAUAAUCAGCAUGGAAUGACAAUGGGGAAAUUGUGCAUAAUGAAGCUGAUAGUUUCCACAGUGAGAUGUCUAGCUUGAUGGAUGAGAAGAGAUUCAUGGAUGUUGUUUUACUCAGCUUUAGUGAGGCUUUUGACACUCUCCCAUAACAUUCUCAGUGACAAGAUGACAAAGUGUUAGACAGUUGGACAGGAAAAUGCUCUAAAAACCAGCUGAAUGACUGGGCCCAGGGGGCUUAAAGAAGAGAAAGCUCAAGAGGGAUCUUAUCAGUAAAUAUAAAUACUUGAAGAACUUUGGGAAUGAAGAGAAGAGAGCUACACUCUUCUCUGGAGUACCCAGUGACGGUAGAAGAGGCUACAGGCACAAAUUAAAACACAUGAAAUUCCAUCUGAACACAAGAAAUUAUCUUUUCUUUUUUCCUGUGGAAGUUCUCAAACACUGGA